AACCAAUGGCCCCCUGAACGCGCAUUGCACUCUUGGGACUUCCUGAGAGUAUGUCUGCUUCAGCGCUU
RNAcentral lists this ribosomal RNA (68 nucleotides) under Symbiodinium sp. C31. RNAcentral's name for it is "partial 5.8S ribosomal RNA". Lineage: Eukaryota; Dinophyceae; Suessiales; Symbiodiniaceae. The record is from RNAcentral.